Molecule: unclassified non-coding RNA, 207 nt
Filed under: soil metagenome
Description: partial contains 5.8S ribosomal RNA, internal transcribed spacer 2, and large subunit ribosomal RNA
Source: RNAcentral
AACCAUAGAAACCUGCGGAGUACCUGCGGAGGGAUCAUUACCGAGUUUACAACUCCCAAACCCCUGUGAACGUACCAAUUGUUGCCUCGGCGGAUCAGCCCGCUCCCGGUAAAACGGGACGGCCCGCCAGAGGACCCCUAAACUCUGUUUCUAUAUGUAACUUCUGAGUAAAACCAUAAAUAAAUCAAAACUUUCAACAACGGAUCU